RNAcentral lists this unclassified non-coding RNA (232 nucleotides) under Hevea brasiliensis (rubber tree). The record is from RNAcentral. Lineage: Eukaryota; Viridiplantae; Streptophyta; Magnoliopsida; Malpighiales; Euphorbiaceae.
GAGUCUCAGAUUAGUUUCAAUCCCUACGACCAAAAUUCCUACCUAAAUGGGUCUCAGGGAUCGAAGUGGUAUGCUAUACCUGCUCAUGUUCCUUUCCAACAAGAAUCUUGUAUGUUCACUUUAACAGAUCCUGAGCGAUCCAGAGAGAACAAGCCUGUCAUUAGGAAGCCUUCACCUUUUCCUGCUUCCAAGCAAACCUGUAAAUCUCUGGAUCUUCAUUUAGGCCUUGGCU